CCCUGCUGCUGCUGCUGCUGCUAAGUCGCUUCAGUCGUGUCCGACUCUGUGCGACCCCAUAGACGGCAGCCCACCAGGCCCCGCCGUCCCUGGGAUUCUCCAGGCAAGAACACUGGAGUGGGUUGCCAUUUCCUCCUCCAAUGCAUGAAAGUGAAAAGUGAAAGUGAAGUCGCUCAGUCGUAUCCGACUCUUAGCGACCCCAUGGACUGCAGCCUACCAGGCUCCUCCGUCCAUGGGAUUUUCCAGGCAAGAUAGCUGGCGAGGUGAGGAUUGCCAGUCCUGGAAGGAUGAGGUAAAGUUAAAUCGGGUACAGCAGCAGAAUCAAGGAGGAGGAAGAUCUUGCUCCAAACCCUGAGGGACGGGACGAGAUAUGACAACGAGCAGGAGAAAAAGAAAGAAAGCAAAGUCUCAGCCUGGCUUCUGAGUUUCAAAAGCAGCCGUUGGUCUGGACACGACAUGCAGGUUCGUCUGGGAGCAUCCUGCUCACUCCCGUUGCCUCUAAGCUCCCUCCUCCCUUCACCCUCCUACCCUCGUGAUCAUUGCCUGCACCUGCAGUUCCCCUGGGGAGUCCUCUCUGAGCCUUCUCUGCAGGCUCAGCCUCCAGCAAAAAGAGCCCCGUGUUCUAACUCAAGAGGACUCAGCUGAGGGACGCCCACCAGAGAUGACCUCAGCAACCCCUCCAGUCGCUCAGUCAACAAGUACUUAUCGAAGGUCUUCCCUGCGCCAGAUGCUGUUUCAGAUGCUGGACAUUCAGCAGUGAACAAACAGACAAAAACCUCUGCCCUUGUGGGCUCGCAUCCCAGUACUGUUACCAUAGUAACAGGCCUUGAGCACCACUCGGUCCCCCCACAUCUGUCCCGAGAGUUGGAAACAUCCUGAUGGCACAGACAGCACUUCCCUCCGGGGUCUCCACGAAGCUGGGGUGUCACUGGCACAGCUCUUUCUCUCCCCUUGACCCGGCUCCCCCGAGGCCACGGGUAUCACGGGGCAAGGGUGCGCCUGGCACAGCGCUGGUAUGAGGCCGUGAUUGUCAGACUCAGCAGUGGCUUUGGCAGUUCAAGCGCCUUCAGCUACCAUUGCCGUUUGGUGUGUUUCUGUUUUGCUCUAACUGAAACUUAGUGCUUCUCUUUCAAUGUAUUUUCAAUCUGUUAUGUAAUUGCAUAUCAUUACAUAAUAGUAAAAAAAAAAAAAUUUGUGUCCCUAUUGUUCAUAAAAUUGUCCUGUUUUAGGAAAUAACUUACCUGGAAGCUUGACUCACCUAGAGUGGGGCACGUCAGGUCAAGCGCUCUGCGGUACCAUUCAUCUGUUCAGGUAGCAUUAGUUGAACAUCUGCCCCCACAGCAGAUGCCGAGAGUGGGAGUGGGAGCCCAGGGAGACCCCUGUUUAGAGAGGCCUGUUUUC
Molecule: long non-coding RNA, 1401 nt
Filed under: Bos indicus x Bos taurus (hybrid cattle)
Lineage: Eukaryota; Metazoa; Chordata; Mammalia; Artiodactyla; Bovidae
Description: lncRNA (ENSBIXG00000022089.1)
Source: RNAcentral